RNAcentral lists this transfer RNA (86 nucleotides) under Planctomycetota bacterium. RNAcentral's name for it is "Planctomycetes bacterium tRNA-Leu". It matches the Rfam family "tRNA". From Rfam's summary of the family: Transfer RNA (tRNA) molecules are approximately 80 nucleotides in length. Their secondary structure includes four short double-helical elements and three loops (D, anti-codon, and T loops). Lineage: Bacteria; Pseudomonadati; Planctomycetota. The record is from RNAcentral.
GCGCAAGUGGCGGAAUUGGCAGACGCGCCAGGUUGAGGGCCUGGUGGGCAUUUAUGCCCGUGGAGGUUCGAGUCCUCUCUUGCGCA